CCGACGGAGAGUUUGAUCCUGGCUCAGGACGAACGCUGGCGGCGUGCCUCAAACAUGCAAGUCGAGGGAGGGUUGCUCGGGGGCUUGCCCUCGGGUUCAACUCUACCGGCGAACGGGUGAGUAACACGUGGGUAACCUGCCCCGAAGACGGGGAUAACCUCGGGAAACCGGGGCUAAUACCCGAUACCCUCAUCGGGUCGCAUGACCGGGUGAGGAAAGGGUCCGCAAGGUCUGCUUCGGGAUGGGCCCGCGGCCUAUCAGCUAGUUGGUGGGGUAAUGGCCCACCAAGGCGAUGACGGGUAGCUGGCCUGAGAGGGUGGUCAGCCACACUGGGACUGAGACACGGCCCAGACUCCUACGGGAGGCAGCAGUUGGGAAUCUUGGGCAAUGGGCGCAAGCCUGACCCAGCGACGCCGCGUGGGGGAUGAAGGCCUUCGGGUUGUAAACCCCUGUCAGGAGGGAAGAAGCCCGCAAGGGUGACGGUACCUCCAGAGGAAGCCCCGGCUAACUACGU
Molecule: ribosomal RNA, 514 nt
Filed under: Pseudomonadota bacterium
Lineage: Bacteria; Pseudomonadati; Pseudomonadota
Also listed under: 1 other name
Description: partial 16S ribosomal RNA
Rfam family: Bacterial small subunit ribosomal RNA
Source: RNAcentral